GUGUUCAGUUAUUCGGCAGCCCAUAUACUAACAUUACAACAGUGUAGGGAAGAUUAGCACGGCCCUUGAGCAAGGAUGGCACGACAAUCUAUCCAUCUCUCCGUACAUUA
This is a small nuclear RNA of Acomys russatus (golden spiny mouse), 110 nucleotides long. The record is from RefSeq and is a predicted model, not a curated record. NCBI's taxonomy places the organism in Eukaryota, Metazoa, Chordata, Mammalia, Rodentia, Muridae.